This 303-nucleotide ribosomal RNA is filed under the name Triticum aestivum (bread wheat). RNAcentral's name for it is "partial small subunit ribosomal RNA". The record is from RNAcentral. Lineage: Eukaryota; Viridiplantae; Streptophyta; Magnoliopsida; Poales; Poaceae.
AUGGAGCUGACCCGAUCGACGCAGCCUGAUUUUCACCUAGCUUAUGCUGAAGGCGCCUUAUCUCCUUUUCUGACACCAUCAAAGGAGGUGAGGCUCCAGGGUUUCACCGAGGAUCAUACAGCAUCAAGUUUAUCUUACGUGUCGGUGUCACAAAUUCUGUACAUGACCACCCUUUUGCCAAGCCUCAGCUACCAUGUUUCUCAUCGCUCUCAUGUCGUUGUUCUCAUAUACUGGAAAUAUUUCUCAGUUUGCUUUCAAUCGGUUACUCUGUCCUCACCAGCAGUGCACAUUGAGCGGAGUUAG